Molecule: non-coding RNA, 97 nt
Organism: Polyporus arcularius HHB13444
Lineage: Eukaryota; Fungi; Basidiomycota; Agaricomycetes; Polyporales; Polyporaceae
Source: the annotation of a GenBank genome assembly
AGCAACUUGACGCAGUGGAAGCGUGCAGGGCUCAUAUUUAUAGUGUAGCGCAUGCUUUGAAACCCUGAAGUCCCUGGAUCGAAACCAGGAGUUGCUA